This is a long non-coding RNA of Pezoporus flaviventris, 628 nucleotides long. RefSeq lists it as uncharacterized. Lineage: Eukaryota; Metazoa; Chordata; Aves; Psittaciformes; Psittacidae. The transcript has 2 exons. The record is from RefSeq and is a predicted model, not a curated record.
GGUGAAUGGAAAGAACGGGGCGGGAGGCACUGACGGGCUCUGCAGGAGGCAGCGACUUCACGCUGCAGACAUUUAAAAGCAGUUUGUGUGACACGUAAGCGGUGAAAAAAGUCCUUGCUGAAAAUGUUAGAGAAAACCAGCAAAUAUCUUUUGCAGGAGGUAAAACAGGGCUUGUGGUCUGUCGGUGGCUUCUAAGGAGGGGCAGGCAGCAAGGGUACAAGCUUUGGAAUAGAAUAAGCAAAAUGAACCCAUCAAGUUGGAGAGUUUCUCUUCAGUAAUGCUGCUUUGGAGUAGAGGGAACAGAAAAUAAUGUACUGAAAAGGGAGCUGGAGAGGGAGCGAUCAAAAUAAUGACAAAAAGAGUAGUUCUGAAGUGAGAUCCCAAUGCUAACGGAAAAGUUAAAGUAUUGCAAAUACUUUGUUAUCUCUCAGGUUUUUGGCUACAUACCCAGAUAGUCAUUGGACAGUUCCGAAAUUAGAAGAGUGCCUUCCUCCCAUCCAUGAAAUCUGACAGAUGCAAUUUUUUAGUAACAUGGGCUUCAGAAAUCAGGAUACAGGGAUGCAGAAUUCAGUGCCUCUCUCUGAAUUAAUUUUAAGACUGAAGACUUUAUUUUCAAAACUGUGUUCAA